GGCCAGCAGCCGCGGUAAUACGUAGGGGGCAAGCGUUAUCCGGAAUUAUUGGGUGUAAAGGGCGCGUAGACGGAUUAGAAAGUUAGUUGUGAAAUCUCUGAGCUUAACUCAGAAACUGCAACUAAAACUUCUAACCUUGAGUGCAGGAGAGGAAAGUGGAAUUUCUAGUGUAGCGGUGAAAUGCGUAGAUAUUAGGAGGAACACCAGUGGCGAAGGCGACUUUCUGGACUGUAACUGACGUUGAGGCGCGAAAGUGUGGGGAGCAAACAGGAUUAGAUACCCUGGUAGUCCACACCGUAAACGAUGGAUACUAGGUGUAGGGGGGAUCGAACCCUUCUGUGCCGGCGUUAACACAAUAAGUAUCCCACCUGAGUAGUACGACCGCAAGGUUAAAACUCAAAGGAAUUGACGGGGGCCCGCACAAGC
RNAcentral lists this ribosomal RNA (426 nucleotides) under uncultured bacterium. RNAcentral describes it as "bacterial SSU rRNA". It matches the Rfam family "Bacterial small subunit ribosomal RNA", at positions 506 to 930 of the family's 1533-position model. The record is from RNAcentral.